Long non-coding RNA from Anas platyrhynchos (mallard), 10376 nucleotides. RefSeq lists it as uncharacterized. NCBI's taxonomy places the organism in Eukaryota, Metazoa, Chordata, Aves, Anseriformes, Anatidae. The record is from RefSeq and is a predicted model, not a curated record.
ACUCAGAUAUGUGGCAGUAAGAAAACACUACUCUGAAGUUCAGCAUUAACUUAUUUAAAGAAAGAAAUGCUUUCUGAGCAUAAGCUUUGAGUAAAAAAUCCUGUUUAUUUUUGUUAUUCUCCAGUUUUACAAAUAUCUUUCAAGGAAUUUAUAUAGUUAUUUUCUUCUCUGGUAUGAGUGCAGCUUCAUGUACACUUCCUGCUUGAACUGGUGGACAUUGCAAGGUUAGCACAGGACAAGCAACAUGCACCUUUCAACAGAGAUGGUCAAGAGUGCUGCUUCACACAAUGGACACAGCUGUGUGGGAGGAAUAUCAUUAACCUGGCUUGCUCACUCCUCUCAGGUCCUGUUGCUGGUCAACAGAGAGAAGAUUUAAUGCUGCUGGUGUUGAUUGCUUCACUUUUGAACUAGUCUGUGUUUGUAGUGAUUCUAAGAAGAAACUGAUCUGUUCAAGUACAGGCAGAAAGAAAUGAAAGAUUCUCUGUAAUGAUUCUGCUUUCAUUCUAACAUAUCAGUAGAGGAGAUAUGCUCUGAUAUGCAGGAGAUGAUGGGAAAAUCAGGCCUGAACACACACAAAGGUGUUACAGAAUUUGUGGCAUAUAUUAGAGGAUUAAUUUGAAACAUUUUUUCUCCCUGAGCUUCAGCUGUGAAACUAUACUGACUUGCACCCUUGAAGAUGUUGUAUCAUGGAUGUUGACCCAUAUGUCACCAUUCCUGUGUGCAGACAAGGAAUACACUCAGUGAAAGCUUGAAGAGGAAAAUUCCUUCUUUCAAAAUGAUGAUAUGAAAACAAUCAAACAACUUGAAUGGAUUUGAGUUAAUGAAAUCUCUGAUAAAGAGGUAAAGUCUUUACAGAUCCUUGAAACUAGUCUGCCUCCCUAUGUGUAUGUGAGAACAAGAAACAGAGAGAUGGUAAUGAACCACAGAGCAGGUGGGAAUCCAGUUUCUCCCUUUAUUUUGUUACCUGAGCUAAGUGGUUUCAUAGUUGCUUGGGUAUUUCUGCAUGAUGAUGCAACCUAUUGUAUACCCUUAAGUCACUUUGUGCCUUCUGUAUGAUUCUAUUUUCAUAGUACUGGAUUCAUACGUACUGGAUUUUUUUUCUUUAUAUCAUUGAAAGUAACUUUUCUCUAGAGAUGAAAAUGUACAAUUUAAUUGAUAAUUUAAUUGCCAUGCUUUAAGAAUAAGAAACAAAGAGAUAAAGUAUUAUUAAGAUCAAAUCUUAUCAGGAGAUCAAAUCUUAAAAGCUUUAAACUUACAUUAAAUUUCUAAGAUAAAUAUUGACUGACUGUAUUACUAAAGUUUUUUGUUUGGUGUUUGGUUUUGGGUUGGUUUGGUUUUUAGCACAAACAGCUCACAAACUUCUUGGUACAAAUCUUCAGGUAUUUUAUGAACUGCUGAAUUCAAUAGCUUAGAGUCAAGUCUGCAAAUUACAAGUUCAUGCCAUCCAGAGGGGACCAAAUAAUAUAUCACCAAAGUGGGAGUCAGGUUGAUAUGCUUGUGUAACUUAGGAGGGAACCACAUAGCAAUGAGAGGAGUUAAAACACACAGACUGUAACAAUAAAGGGUAAAUCAAGAUUUAAAAAGUCACAUGCCCAUUUAGAUCAAAAUUGACCCCCCGAUCAACAAACUGAAUAUAAUGAAAAUCAGGUUGGAUUUGGAGACAGGGACAGGCAAUAUGAAGGACUGGGAGGUAAAGCAGAAACUCAUGUAAUUCAUAGAUUCACUACAAACCAGUUUACUAAAAUGUACUUGACAUUUAAAAAUCCUAUGGUGAAGUUUCUAUUAAGAAAAGCUGCCAUUUUUAUAAUCAACAGAAUUAUGUUAAAAUCUAUUAUACCUCCAUUUUUUCAAAUGAAGGAAUUAACACUAUCUAAAUCUAGGAAAAAUCUACAAAGGAUAAUUUUUACUCAUUUUUGUUGGUGGUGAUUGCACCUAUGAGAUUCAUUCACCAGAUGAAAGGUGUCUACAGGGUAAAUCUCUGUCUCAUAGAAUCAUAGAAUAGUCCAGGUUGGAAGAGAACUUAAAGACCAUCUAGUUCCAAACCCCCUGCCAUCGGCAGGGACACCUCCCACUACAUCAGAUUUCUCAAAGCCUCAUCCAACCCAGCCUUGAAGACUUCCAGGGAUUGGGCAUCCACAGCUUCUCUGGACAACAUGUUCUAGUGCCUCACCACCUUCCGAGUGAAGAAUUUCCUCUUUAAGCUAAACCCAUCCUCUUUGCAUUUAAAGCUAUUACCUCUUGUCCUAUCACUACAGAUCUAAGUUUGCCUCUUAAGUAUUUUUCAAUUUAUUGAAAACAAAGUAAUUCUAUUAUAUGAUCAUUCUAAUACUUCCAUGCUCAUCUUGUGCUGGGGGCCCCAGAGCUGAACAUAGUACUCCAGGUGUUGUCUCAUGAGAACAGAGCAGAGAGGAGAAUCACCUACCUCUAACAGGAUAUGGUUGGCUUUCUGGGCUGCAAACACAUUACUGAGUCAUGCUGAGCUUCUCAUUAACCAACACCCUUCUCAUCAGGGAUGCUCUCAAUCCAUUCAUCACACAGCCUGUGUUUGUGGCUGGAAUUGACCCAACCCAGGUGUAGGACCUUGUACUUGACCUUGUUGAAUUUCAUGAAGUUCGCACAGGCCCGCCUUUUAAGCCUGUUCAGUCCCUCUGGAUGGCAUCCCUUCCCUCCAGUGUGUCCAUCCCACUACACAGCUUGGUGCCAUCGACAAACUUGCUGAGGGUGCACUUGAUCCCAAUGUCCAUGUCACCAGCAAAGAUAUCAAACAGCAUCAGCUCCAAUACCAAAACCUAAGGAACACCACUCGUUACUGAUCUCUGCUUGGACACUGAGUCAUUGACCACAACUCUUUGAGUGCAACCAUCCAGCCAAUUCCUAAACCAGAGUAAUCCAUCUGCCAAAUCCAUGUCUCUCCAAUUUAGAGACAAUAUCAUGAGGGACAGUGUCAAAUACUUUGCACAAAUCCAGGUAGAGCAUGUCAGUUGCUCUUCCCCUAUCCACCAAUGCUGUAACCCCGUUGUAGAAGGCCACCAGAAUUUUCAGGUACUAUUGGUCCUUAGUGAAGCCAAGCUGACUGUCAAUCACCUCGUUAUUUUCCACGUGCCUUAGCAGAGUUUUCAAGAGAAUCUGUUCCAUGAUCCUGACAGGCACAAAGGUGAGACUGACUGGCCUGUAGUUCCCAGGUAUACCUUUUUUCACCUUUUUUUAAAUGGGGGUUAUAUUUCCCCUCUUCCAGUCAGUGGGAGCUUCACCAGACUGCCACAACUGCCCAUGAGGGGGUGAUGCCCCUACCUCAUCUCUUCCUAAAGAGCCUGUAUCCUUCUAUGCCAACUCUCCAGUCAUGGGAGCUAUCCCACCACAGGUCUAUAGUGCUAAUGAGGUCUCAGCCUUGUGGGCGUGCAAACAUCUCUAACUCCUCUUUUUUAUUCCCCAUGCUACAUGCAUCAGCAUAGAGACAUUUAAGUUGGGCACCUGAUGAAGCUGAUUUACUGGCUGGAGGGGCUGGAAUUCCUUUGUGCUGUUCUUCAGGUUCUCUCCUGCUGACCUGUGACCCUUCUCCAGGCUCAUCUUCAGUUCAGAUCCUCAAAAGACGUUUAGAUGUAGAGCUUAGGGAUAUGGUUUAGUGGGGACUGUUAGUGUUAGGUUAGAGGUUGGACUCGAUGAUCUUGAGGUCUCUUCCAACCUAGAAAUUCUGUGAUUCUGUGAUUCUGUGAUCUAUCACUGACACUGGCAUCAAACUGGGAGGAGUGGGAUGGAUUAAGGUUCCUCUCCCAUGGCAAUUUUAGUUUAAACUUAAUGUAAAGCCCUCUUCAUCAAAUUGGCAAGCAUAUGGCCAAAGAUGAUCUUCCCCUUCUCUGAUGGAUGGACCCCAUCAGCUGCCAGUAGACCAGGUUUCUCAGAGUCCCAUGGUCUAAGUAGCCCCUCAUGGUCUAAGGAUCCUUGAUCCAAAGUACUGAUUAGGCAUUUGAGUAAUAAUAAUUAAUAAUAAUAAAAAAAUUAGUUUAAACAUCAAACAAAAAGAUAGGUGGGGAAUGGAAUUAACUCCAUGGCAAUAUGAGGAUCUGAACUGAAUGUUUCAAAACUGAUUUUUAAAUAGGGAAAAAUAGCCAGAAUAUUAUAUUCCCAGAAGGAAAAACACCUAAGCAUCUGGUGACUGCUUCACAUGCUUAUACUAAUUAAGCAUGUCCACAAUGAGGUAACUGAGUAGCCAGGAAAUUUUGAAGAUUGUUGUCAGCAGCCUCAUGAAAAAGCCAGUCUAUAAAGAUUGAUUUUAUAUCAAACUUCCAUACCAUAAUGAAAAGUUAUAUCCAGUAUUGAUAAUGGAGUGUGAGACAUCUUCAUUUCUUUAUUCCAGCAAGUGAAUCACUUUGUUUCUCUCACUCCAUGCCAUAUGUAAGGAGCCAAAUUAUAGCCAAAGGUUCUAGUUAAGUGAAACAUUGUCUUAAUCUUACUGGUACUCUAUCAUAAUACAUUUGUUAAUAGGAAACUGGCAUUUAUCUCUGUGAGUGAUAAUUGAUAUAUUGAUCAUUUAAGACUUCACCUUACCGCAAGCCAUCACACCAAAAUCUGUUCAUUUGGAAAUAACAUGUCAUACCAUGUUACACAGUGUAUUCAUCCAGUCUUGGCAAGUGAGCAGGUGAAAAGAUAAAUUAUUGACAGCAUCUUAGAAUUAGUUUGGUUUUCUCAGAUAAAACAAAGGGAAAAAUCCACAUCUGUGUUCUUAACAUACAUAUUUGCUCUCAUACAUCAAAUGUAUUUCUAUUAACUGAUGAGAUUAGAUGUAGACUGCUUUUAAUCUGAAAGAGAAAUCUUAGUGGUAAAUAUGAUUCCAAUGUGAGUAAAAUUAAACACCACUACCUUUAUUAUCACUGGACAUUUUACCUGAUUUGGAGGGAAUGGGAGGAGUGGGGAGAGCAAGUAUUUGCCAAAUUUACCAAUAGUGGUGAAGAAUUAUUACGUAAUAGGGAAAAAAUAUGUACGAUAUGUCCAGUGCCAAAGAUGGUAAAAGAUUUUAUGCAAGAAAAAUAUGAAACCUGGUGUUUUCUUACUUAUUUGAUGGCCUUACCUGAAAAUGAUCAUUUAUGGUUUGUAUCUUAUAUACUUGUGUGACAUUAUAGUCCUUCAAUGCAUUAGAAGUAUGCAGAGCAUAAUGUCUGAAACUUUUUGAAAUGUAAUACGAUUUUAUAUUUGAGAUAAUAUUAAGCAAUAUUAAGCAAAAAACUUUUCUAAAUUAAAGGGAAAAGUAUGGCUUGGGUCAAAUACUACACACUCAGGGUAUAGUAUGUAAAUAACAUUAUUUUAAAAACUUUUUUUGUCUUUGUUGAAACAAUCUGAUAUAAGUCAGACCACAGAACAGGUUACUCUAACUCAUACCAGGUUUCUUUCCUGUGGGAGCAAAUUAUAGGUAUGGGGUUCAGUUAAAUAAGAAUAAACAAUGUUUUCCACUAGACAUUGACCAGUUCUCAUACAGCUCCCCACAGAAAAUGACAAGAAAGGUUUGAGUGUCAUCUACUUCUUCAUGCAUAUCAUAUAAAUCAUAAAUCUGGACCUUUCUAUGUGCACUAUAACUAACCAUCUCCAGUGUUAUCCUUGCAUUCACCAGGUCUGGAUUUCAUUCAUAUGUUCUUGGAAAUAGAGCAAUAUGUGAAAAUAAGUUGUUCCAACUCUGUCAUCAGCUUCUGGAAACUAAGCAGCAAAUAAAGUUACCAAGCUAGCCUGUGUAAUAAUAACUCCUCAUAAACAUCAACAGAAUGACAUUCAUACCUGGUCCUUUUCUUGCAGUCAUAUACUAUACAACGGAUCUGGCGUAAUGGAAUCAUAGAAUAUAUUUGUUUUUUCCUUCAUGGAGAUUAUACCUACAUCAUUAUUCCUACUGUCUGUCAGUUUUGAUGUCACUUCAGAAAAUAUUUGAAAACAGAGAAACACAGCCCAAGUAAACAGCUGUAGAUACACAGGCUUAGUUACCAAAUGCCCCUUUCAUUCCCUUAACAGCUGUUCCCACAACCUACUCAUUUCACUACGGUGACUUAAUAGCUUCCUUUCCAGGUGCAGCAGUAACAAUGACAAAUUUGGCAAGCCAAAUUUCCCACAAUUAACAAACGUGUCUCACCACCUCUGGCUAUGGCUCAGGCCACUGAAGACUCCACCAGUGUACAAUAAACAAGCAGAAAUAAAUGUGCCAUUCUGGACCAAUGCCUCCCACUUCUCAAAUUUGGCUUUUACUGCAAUAUCUUGAAGACCAAAUAGCAACAUUUUAUACCACAUCUGAAAUACAUUUUAUUUCAGCUGAUAUUAAUUUGCUUUAACAUUGAGUAGGUGGUGUACCUUGAAGAAAGUACAAAACCAAAGAAUAAAUAGUUCAAUAAAUAUUUACCAGUACUUUUUUACCAGUACUAAAUAAAACCAGUACUUUUUCUGUAUCACUGCACAAAUUCUUCUAAUCAGUCUCUGAUUUGUAAGACAAGACCAAAAAAAUUUUAAAUGCACUUUGUCAGGUCUUAGAGAACCGAGAGAUACCUCUGACAAGAAUGCAAGAAUGCAGAGAAUGAUGGUCCUAUACUAUUCCUACAAACCACAUGAAAGUGCAUUAUAGGCACUUUUUUUUUUCUCACUGCAAGCUUAUUUCAGGUCACCUUAUGCAAUAACUUUCCGGCCUGAUAGGGUGUCACACUGCUUUUCAUACUUGGACAACUUCACUGACUUCAGGGAGUUCAUUCUGAUUUACACCCGUGUAAUGGAGCACAAGAUCAGGCAGCUGUUCUUUCCCAGGAGACAAGAAUUAACAUUCCAAUUUCAGGGAAAAUCUAUUGCAGGCCAAGUAAAGACCUUGCAAUGUCUUGAUGUUAAUGUGCUGUAUCCUCUCCAUGCUAAUCAUACCAGAACAGAGUUUCAGAUGAUGGAAAUAGUUGUAGCUUCAAAAUUUCACCUGAGUUAUACCAUUCUCACUAGCUGAAGAUCCAGCCAGUCACUGUAGUAUACUGUAGUACUACACAGUACUGUACAGUACACAGCACAACAGAAGGUGUCUAAUCAAUUUUUUACAUAACUAAAUGGGGAAAAAUAUAUUAAUGGAACAUUAUGGUGGUAGUGUCAUGUACACAAUAGACAACACACUUAAAAUUAUAGCCCCCCCCCCAAGCAAUGUUAAUUCAGCUGCUAUUAAAGCAUUAAAAAUAAUAUAAUGUGCUGCAAAACAGAAUACAGCAUAUAUGCCAGGGGACUGAGAUAUCAUCACAGAGGGAACUGUAACUUUUAAUUUGCUGAUUCUGGUGAGCAUAAAAUCUAACCCUUGGCAUUAUUUUCCAUGUCUUACUUUUAUCAUUUCACCUCUUUAGUUUUGCUGCAGUUAAUUAUUUGUAAUUUAGGAUGGAAAACAUUAUCUGUUGAUCCCAUACACUUUAUCUCCAGCUCUUGAGAGAGAAAUUUCUUUGAUGUAAAAAUAAGUUACACAAUAUGAACAUGAACAAAUUCGCAAAUCAACAACACCAAACACUAGAAUACAGUUCUGAGCAGAAAAGCUAAAGUUAUAUGGCCCUCCUCAAGUCAAGAUCCUACCAGUAAAAAAAAUUAAUUCUUAGAGGCCAAUGGUAUGAUUUUUUUUUUUUCUAAAUUGUCAUUAGUGACAAUUCAAGGUCCAGGAAAUUCACUGCCAAAAUCAAAGUAAUUUAAAUUUAACCUUUACAGAUUUCAGAAAAUAGUCAUAGAAGACAUUAGAUUCUAUUACUAGUAUGUAAUAGAAUCACACUUCUAUACUAUUUCCUCUAAGUCCCAUUUGCACUGAAGAUUGUACGAAAAUAUUUAUGACUUAAAAUGGUACGUAGUUAUGUGGCUACCAUUUAUGUUGAAGAAAAUUUCAAUAAAAUGUGUUUUUAUUGUGGAAAGAAAAACAUGGAAACUUAUAUGGAACAUCGUGUGGUUUGCAUGCACAAAAAACUCUCAGAGAAUCAGCACUCCUUAUAUCUUUUAUCCAAAGCAGCCUUAAGCAAAGAUAAACAACCUUUUAUAAGUUAAAAAAGAAUUGAUUCAGUUCAGUGAAGUGAUGGAUGAUAUAGGGCUACAAGGUAACUAAUUAUUAACUGUAACAUUAAACAAGUAGUUAACAAAGAUUAAUCUUCAAGUCAGUUUACAACAAGCACAGAUAACUCAUUAGAUGAUUAUUUUUUUUCUUUGUGCCGGAAUAAUAGGAAUGAUGCACAACUCUCAUUAAUGAGGAUGUUAUUUCCUCUCUGCGUGAAGACUUUUGAAAUUUUUUUGUUUGAACAUCAUGUUUGAUAUGCACAGAAAAGGCUAUGAAGCAGAUGGAUCUUAAUUGGACAAGCAACUAGAAUUUAGAGUUAAACAUGAAUUACUAAUUAGUUUUCUUUUUUAAGAUUAACCUUUUCUAUAUUGCUCUGCAGGACUGUAAUUUCCUAUUAAAAUCAUGAUUUUGUCAUGUUGAUAAGAUAUUGACUCAAUGUUUAUUCAAUAAAAUUUGUUUUAAAAUAUUAAAUAUGGAAAUCCAUGUAAUAUUAUAGACUCUUUCAAAGUUCUGCUGAAACAUAUGCUUGGCACGUGGAACAAAAUAUAGCUUUGAAAAAUUAUUGUCUUCUGAAAUGUUGUAUUUGUUUUGAACCAUAAAAUGGUUUUAAAAUAUCACUCAAAUACUAUAUUUACAAAACUUUAUUUUCCCAGAGGUUUUCCUUUACUACUUAAAUCUAGAUAUGGAAAUUCGUCUUUAAAAAAAAUAAAUUAAGAAUCUUUCUUUCAAGAGAAAUAAUCACAACAGUAUGAUUCCAUUAACAGGAAGGAUAGAUUGCUUUUUUUUCCAGUCUCAAAAUGCAAAUAUAAAUACAUGAUAAUAAAUAGGUUGUGUCUACGAACAUCAAGAAAUAACUCCACAUCACAGCAACAUCUUUCAGUAGUACUCUUCUGUCAAGAGAAGGCAUUACAAUAAAUUUAUCCAGUUUUAGAUCCUUAUUCAGAGUAUUUUGCUGUUUUUCUUCUUUGUACAUUUUCAAAUGAACAGAAGAAUCAAUGACUCUCAUUUUAUUCUAAAGACAAUUUGUCAUGUCUGAAUAAUAAAAGUUUAGGAAACAGUUCCUAUCAGUCCAUUCUUUAAUUAAUUUUAAGUUAAAAUAAAACUAUAGAAAAAUAUUCUCUACAGAUUUAUGACCUAGACAAUUCAGUUUUUCUCUUAGGUAUAUGGCCCCUCUCCAGAUAUGCUUCAAAUUUAUUCUCAGAAGCCACCUUUCAUUUAAGAUUAUCUUGAAUUUAGUCUUAACCUUGAGGUCAAGCUGAAAAACACAUCAACUGAGAAAAAUAAGCAUGAAUGAGUGAUGUGCGUUUCAGUAAAUCUGUUGUGUGCUCAUCAGGUAGCUAAAAUCUAGCAGGCUGAAUCUGAAGUCAUUCUUUCUACUUCUGAGUCUUCAGUGAGUGAUCUAGAAAACUAGAAUAUUAUUAUAUAUCUGAAAUGAAAAUAAAAUCACUCGUUUUUUGAGGUAAAUCUGUAUCCACAACUUUAACUUCACUUUUCAAAGGACACAGAACAUUAAAUGGUGUCAUUAUGUAGAUGCAAUAUCCUUUACCCAACAGAGUGUGACCACUGAUAUCCUACAGAGUUUCAAUCUUAUGAGUCAAGAAAGAGUUAUUUGGGCUUGUCUCGGAGUAUUCAAGUAACUAUCAACCAUCUGUAGGACGUAUAAAAGCAUAUGCAUUUUCUUACAAGAAAAAACAAAGGUCUCUAGUUUAGUGUUCUCUGGCCAAUAGACAAGGCCAAUGGAAAGGAACCAAAUUCUAGAUAUUUUUCCCAUCCAUCACAAGGAUAGAUGCCCCAUCCCUGGAGGUGUUCAAAACCAGGCUGGAAGAGGCCAUGGGCAACCUGAUACAGGUGACAUCCCUGUCUAUGGCAUGGGGGCUGGAAAUAGAUCAUCUAUAAGGUCCCUUCCAACCCAAGCCAUUCUAUGAUUCUAGUAGGUGAACUUCCCAAACCUGAUUUCAAAUUUUAACAUGAUGUUCUUUGUUUUUAUUCUCUGUGCACCUUACUUAGUUUUACUAUCCAAAAUAUCCUGUGGCAAACCUCUCAUUUUGACCACAUACCAUGCAAAACAAUUACUAUUACUUGUUGUUUUGAAUAAGGUGAGAACUAUUGUUCCUUGUUCACAUUUUCCACAAUCCUCACAAUUCUACAGACUUCUGCUGUACUUCCCUCCCUCAUCAGUCUUCUUUUUUCUUGCAGGGGAUCCUUCAUAAAGAAAAAACAUACCAUGCCUUUGAUCAGCUUGUUAACCUUCUCUCUUUCCAUUUUUAAUUUUUUACAUGGAGGACUCAGGAAGCACAUAUCAUUCAGGAAUGUUCACCAUUGGUUUACACAGUUAUUUUAAUUAUAUUUUGGCUUUCAA